Molecule: ribosomal RNA, 892 nt
Filed under: uncultured Actinomycetes bacterium
Lineage: Bacteria; Bacillati; Actinomycetota; Actinomycetes
Description: bacterial SSU rRNA
Rfam family: Bacterial small subunit ribosomal RNA
Source: RNAcentral
UUUGGUAGGGGAGACUGGAAUUCCUGGUGUAGCGGUGGAAUGCGCAGAUAUCAGGAGGAACACCGAUGGCGAAGGCAGGUCUCUGGGCCAAUACUGACACUGAGGAGCGAAAGCGUGGGGAGCGAACAGGAUUAGAUACCCUGGUAGUCCACGCCGUAAACGGUGGGCGCUAGUUGUGCGAACCUUCCACGGUUUGUGCGACGCAGCUAACGCAUUAAGCGCCCCGCCUGGGGAGUACGAUCGCAAGAUUAAAACUCAAAGGAAUUGACGGGGCCCCGCACAAGCAGCGGAGCAUGCGGCUUAAUUCGACGCAACGCGAAGAACCUUACCAAGGCUUGACAUAUACAGGAAUAUGGCAGAGAUGUCAUAGCCGCAAGGUCUGUAUACAGGUGGUGCAUGGUUGUCGUCAGCUCGUGUCGUGAGAUGUUGGGUUAAGUCCCGCAACGAGCGCAACCCUCGUUCUGUGUUGCCAGCAUUAAGUUGGGGACUCACAGGAGACUGCCGGGGUUAACUCGGAGGAAGGUGGGGAUGACGUCAAAUCAUCAUGCCCCUUAUGUCUUGGGCUGCACGCAUGCUACAAUGGCUGGUACAAACGGCUGCGAUACCGCAAGGUGGAGCGAAUCCGAUAAAGCCAGUCUCAGUUCGGAUUGGGGUCUGCAACUCGACCCCAUGAAGUCGGAGUUGCUAGUAAUCGUAGAUCAGCAACGCUACGGUGAAUACGUUCCCGGGGCUUGUACACACCGCCCGUCACAUCACGAAAGUCGGUAACACCCAAAGUCAGUGGCCCAACCGUAAGGAGGGAGCUGCCAAAGGUGGGAUCGGUGAUUGGGAUGAAGUCGUAACAAGGUAAAGGGCGAAUUCGCGGCCGCUAAAUUCAAUCGCCCUAUGCAGU